Molecule: non-coding RNA, 75 nt
Organism: Araneus ventricosus
Lineage: Eukaryota; Metazoa; Arthropoda; Arachnida; Araneae; Araneidae
Source: the annotation of a GenBank genome assembly
AGUGCUGUAGGGACCGAGUGGUAAGGUUUCAGGUUAGGAGCCGGAGGGUUCCAGGUUCGAAGCCUGACUCCACUG